Molecule: ribosomal RNA, 496 nt
Filed under: uncultured bacterium
Lineage: Bacteria
Description: partial 16S ribosomal RNA
Rfam family: Bacterial small subunit ribosomal RNA
Source: RNAcentral
AUGAACGCUGGCGGCGUGCCUAAUCCAUGCCAGUCGAGCGAACAGACGAGGAGCUUGCUCCUCUGACGUUAGCGGCGGACGGGUGAGUAACACGUGGAUAACCUACCUAUAAGACUGGGAUAACUUCGGGAAACCGGAGCUAAUACCGGAUAAUAUAUUGAACCGCCUGGUUCAAUAGUGAAAGACGGUUUUGCUGUCACUUAUAGAUGGAUCCGCGCCGCAUUAGCUAGUUGGUAAGGUAACGGCUUACCAAGGCAACGAUGCGUAGCCGACCUGAGAGGGUGAUCGGCCACACUGGAACUGAGACACGGUCCAGACUCCUACGGGAGGCAGCAGUAGGGAAUCUUCCGCAAUGGGCGAAAGCCUGACGGAGCAACGCCGCGUGAGUGAUGAAGGUCUUCGGAUCGUAAAACUCUGUUAUUAGGGAAGAACAAAUGUGUAAGUAACUAUGCACGUCUUGACGGUACCUAAUCAGAAAGCCACGGCUAACUACGUG